GNUUUAUUGGGCGUAAGCGAGCGCAGGCGGUUUUUUAAGUCUGAUGUGAAAGCCUUCGGCUCAACCGAAGAAGUGCAUCGGAAACUGGGAAACUUGAGUGCAGAAGAGGACAGUGGAACUCCAUGUGUAGCGGUGAAAUGCGUAGAUAUAUGGAAGAACACCAGUGGCGAAGGCGGCUGUCUGGUCUGUAACUGACGCUGAGGCUCGAAAGUAUGGGUAGCAAACAGGAUUAGAUACCCUGGUAGUCCAUACCGUAAACGAUGAAUGCUAAGUGUUGGAGGGUUUCCGCCCUUCAGUGCUGCAGCUAACGCAUUAAGCAUUCCGCCUGGGGAGUACGGCCGCAAGGCUGAAACUCAAAGGAAUUGACGGGGGCCCGCACAAGCGGUGGAGCAUGUGGUUUAAUUCGAAGCUACGCGAAGAACCUUACCAGGUCUUGACAUACUAUGCAAAUCUAAGAGAUUAGACGUUCCCUUCGGGGACAUGGAUACAGGUGGUGCAUGGUUGUCGUCAGCUCGUGUCGUGAGAUGUUGGGUUAAGUCCCGCAACGAGCGCAACCCUUAUUAUCAGUUGCCAGCAUUAAGUUGGGCACUCUGGUGAGACUGCCGGUGACAAACCGGAGGAAGGUGGGGAUGACGUCAAAUCAUCAUGCCCCUUAUGACCUGGGCUACACACGUGCUACAAUGGAUGGUACAACGAGUUGCGAACUCGCGAGAGUAAGCUAAUCUCUUAAAGCCAUUCUCAGUUCGGAUUGUAGGCUGCAACUCGCCUACAUGAAGUCGGAAUCGCUAGUAAUCGCGGAUCAGCAUGCCGCGGUGAAUACGUUCCCGGGCCUUGUACACACCGCCCGUCACACCAUGAGAGUUUGUAACACCCAAAGUCGGUGGGGUAACCUUUUAGGAACCAGCCGCCUNANNUGGGACAGAUGANUAGGGUGAA
This 936-nucleotide ribosomal RNA is filed under the name Lactiplantibacillus plantarum. RNAcentral's name for it is "bacterial SSU rRNA". It matches the Rfam family "Bacterial small subunit ribosomal RNA", at positions 547 to 1484 of the family's 1533-position model. Lineage: Bacteria; Bacillati; Bacillota; Bacilli; Lactobacillales; Lactobacillaceae. The record is from RNAcentral.